Molecule: unclassified non-coding RNA, 21 nt
Filed under: Dictyostelium discoideum
Lineage: Eukaryota; Evosea; Eumycetozoa; Dictyosteliales; Dictyosteliaceae
Source: RNAcentral
UAUUUCCUUGAUGACACUUUU